RNAcentral lists this ribosomal RNA (457 nucleotides) under uncultured bacterium. RNAcentral's name for it is "bacterial SSU rRNA". It matches the Rfam family "Bacterial small subunit ribosomal RNA", at positions 335 to 784 of the family's 1533-position model. The record is from RNAcentral.
ACUCCUACGGGAGGCAGCAGCAGGGAAUCUUCCACAAUGGGCGCAAGCCUGAUGGAGCAACACCGCGUGAGUGAAGAAGGGUUUCGGCUCGUAAAGCUCUGUUGUUAAAGAAGAACACGUAUGAGAGUAACUGUUCAUACGUUGACGGUAUUUAACCAGAAAGUCACGGCUAACUACGUGCCAGCAGCCGCGGUAAUACGUAGGUGGCAAGCGUUAUCCGGAUUUAUUGGGCGUAAAGAGAGUGCAGGCGGUUUUCUAAGUCUGAUGUGAAAGCCUUCGGCUUAACCGGAGAAGUGCAUCGGAAACUGGAUAACUUGAGUGCAGAAGAGGGUAGUGGAACUCCAUGUGUAGCGGUGGAAUGCGUAGAUAUAUGGAAGAACACCAGUGGCGAAGGCGGCUACCUGGUCUGCAACUGACGCUGAGACUCGAAAGCAUGGGUAGCGAACAGGAUUAGAUA